This 514-nucleotide ribosomal RNA is filed under the name uncultured bacterium. Its description in RNAcentral is "bacterial SSU rRNA". It matches the Rfam family "Bacterial small subunit ribosomal RNA", at positions 307 to 818 of the family's 1533-position model. The record is from RNAcentral.
GCCACACGGGCACUGAGACACGGGCCCGACUCCUACGGGAGGCAGCAGUAGGGAAUAUUGGACAAUGGGCGCAAGCCUGAUCCAGCCAUCCCGCGUGAAGGAUUAAGGCCCUCUGGGUUGUAAACUUCUUUUCUCUGGGAAUAAAAAGUGGGAUUCUUUCCGCCUUGAAGGUACCAGAGGAAUAAGCACCGGCUAACUCCGUGCCAGCAGCCGCGGUAAUACGGAGGGUGCAAGCGUUAUCCGGGUUCACUGGGUUUAAAGGGAGCGUAGGUGGCUUUGUAAGUCAGUGGUGAAAUGCCGCAGCUCAACUGCGGAACUGCCAUUGAUACUGCUUAGCUUGAAUCACGUCGAGGUGGAUGGAAUAAUACAUGUAGCGGUGAAAUGCUUAGAUAUGUAUUAGAACACCGAUUGCGAAGGCAGUUCACUAGGCGUGUAUUGACACUGAGGCUCGAAAGCGUGGGGAUCAAACAGGAUUAGAUACCCUGGUAGUCCACGCCCUAAACGAUGUAAACUC